UUGAACUUUGUGUCUCAAAACGAAAAUUUCAUUUUCUAGCCUCAUAUUCAUAUUUCUUUGUAAAGCAUUUCUGUUAGAAUAAAUUAGUGUCACUUUUGUAUAAAGAAACUCGGCAGCAUGAAAAACAAACGAGAUUUUCAAACAAUAUAUAUUGACGUGAGAGGAUUGUACCUAUAUUUUGAUGCAGAAGUCUUAAAAAGAUUUUGUGCCUUGCAUUGUACUUGAGCUUCAUUCUUUUUCAGCCAUGUUACGUUCUUUUUUGGACCAUACUGAUAAUAUUGCCCAAUAGGCAAAUACAAAGCUGACCUCAUCCCACCUGAAAGUUGCCCCUUUUGAGCCUCUGAAUUAACCGUAUCCUCAUAAGGCGUAUUUGCUCUACGGAAUGCAGACAUUGGAUUAUAUCUCUCUACGUUGGUGAUGUCCUUAUAUUCAUGUCUGCUCCCAUCUAUCUGUGAACUGUGAUAAUAAAGUUGCGGCCAACAAGGACAGAGCAAACUUAUACAUUUAUAGCUGUAAUGAUUACCUUAACUGAUAAUACUACUUUUAUACAGGACAAAAAAAGAGGUUACAAAUUUCUUAUCAGAGCUCUUCUAGCACAAAUAGGGUACAUUCGAGAAAGCAAAAUGUGACGCAUACGUUACUCCACAUGAAGAGUGACAGAUAACUGAAAGGGACCGUUAAUCAAGUAAUAGAUAAUGGAGACUUUACUGUACUUGUAUGUGACAAGAGGAGAAUGGCUAUCAUCAAUCAAUUUUCUUUACCUGUGUCAUCCCUGUCUCCGAAUUUCAUCUCUUUUUGAUAUUUCUUUCGCGUAUUUUGGAGCAUGCAGUUUGAAAAUGGACAAUGUCAUACUAUUCUGUGCACUCGAAAAUAGUUCUUCUGAGGUAAAAUUUUAAUUGGCAGUCACUGUUCAUUUUAUAAUGAAAAUUAAGAAAUUAUGAUUUUAACAUGGUAAGAGAAAAUAUUAUACAGGUUGAGAAAAAAAUGUAUGCCUAAUAAGAUUAAUUUUCGUCAUGUUUGCAGACUACUUUGAAAAAUAUAGAAUCCCGUAUUUUUAGUCGAAAAGUGACGUUAGUUACGAAUGGGAUAUUGGCAGGGGCGUAGCUAGAGUUUCCAUAUUCCUGGCUUGCUUUUAAAAUUCUUAAUCUACUCAGACCCCUGUUCGAAUGCUUUUAGAUUUACCGUAAGACAAAGAAUAAAACAACGCUACCAAAAAAAGAUAUUUUUCAUAAAAUUGAAUUUAACUUCUGCAUAGUUAGUUCUCCCAUAAACAUACCUGAAAAAAUAUUGUAUUAAAUUCCAUUUCAAAGGAUAAGGAAAUCUUCAAAAAAUUGGAUAAUAAAGCAGAAAUCAGUUUAUUUUAUUUAUACUGAAGAUUGUCGAUUUAUACAGAAUUUUCAAAAUAAAGGUUAAAGUAAUUACUUUUAGUUUUCGCCAUCGAAAUACAAGUCGGAAGGAAACCUUGAAUGCUCUUACCAUAUCUAAUAAAUGCAUACAAAUUUUCGCAUUUGUAUUCAAUUCAAUUCAAUUUUUACACCAAACAGAGACAAAUGAAAUAAACACAUUCAUAUUUAAGCAUUAUAAUAGAACUACAAACUACUAACUACAAAUUCACUGAAAUUACGAUGUUAGCAAUUAAGAUAUAUCAAACGCAGCCAUAUGGUCACAAAGAUAAUUAAUUCAAGGAAAGAGAAUCGAAAAUGGAAAUUUUAC
RNAcentral lists this long non-coding RNA (1713 nucleotides) under Stegodyphus dumicola. RNAcentral's name for it is "uncharacterized LOC118191375". Lineage: Eukaryota; Metazoa; Arthropoda; Arachnida; Araneae; Eresidae. The record is from RNAcentral.